This 73-nucleotide transfer RNA is filed under the name Stegodyphus mimosarum. It matches the Rfam family "tRNA". From Rfam's summary of the family: Transfer RNA (tRNA) molecules are approximately 80 nucleotides in length. Their secondary structure includes four short double-helical elements and three loops (D, anti-codon, and T loops). The record is from Rfam by way of RNAcentral. Lineage: Eukaryota; Metazoa; Arthropoda; Arachnida; Araneae; Eresidae.
GUCUUCGUGGUGUAGUGGUCAGCAUGCUCGGCGUGUAUUACAGAGGUCCGGGGUUCGAGUCCCGGCGAAAACG